UGAAGGCGCCCGAUCUCGUCUGAUCUCGGAAGCUAAGCA
Molecule: ribosomal RNA, 39 nt
Organism: Bison bison bison
Lineage: Eukaryota; Metazoa; Chordata; Mammalia; Artiodactyla; Bovidae
Source: Ensembl